CGAUUAAACUGGCGAACGGGUGAGUAACGCGUAGGCAACCUGCCCUAUAGAUUGGGAUAACAUUGGGAAACUGAUGCUAAUACCGGAUGAUGCAACAUUUUCUUUGGAAAGAGUUGUUAAAGCGGGCUUCGGCUCGCGCUUUAGGAUGGGCCUGCGUCCGAUUAGCUUGUUGGUAAGGUAAUGGCUUACCAAGGCAAUGAUCGGUAGUUGGUCUGAGAGGAUGAUCAGCCACACUGGGAUUGAGAUACGGCCCAGACUCCUACGGGAGGCAGCAGUAGGGAAUUUUGCGCAAUGGGGGAAACCCUGACGCAGCAACGCCGCGUGACCGAUGAAGCAUCUAGGUGCGUAAAGGUCUGUCGUAAGGGAAGAAAAAUUCGGAUGUAAAUAAUGUUCGAAUCUGACGGUACCUUACAAGAAAGCACCGGCUAACUUCGUGCCAGCAGCCGCGGUAAUACGAGGGGUGCAAGCGUUGUCCGGAAUCACUGGGCGUAAAGGGUCCGUAGGCGUUUCAAUAAGUCAUAUGUUAAAGACACCGGCUUAACCGGUGACAUGCAUUUGAAACUGUUGAAAUAGAGUAUAGGAGAGGAAAGUGGAAUUCCUGGUGUAGCGGUGACAUGCGUAGAUAUCAGGAGGAACAUCAAUGGCGAAGGCAGCUUUCUGGCCUAUUACUGACGCUGAGGGACGAAAGCGUGGGGAGCGAACAGGAUUAGAUACCCUGGUAGUCCACGCCGUAAACGAUGAGUACUUGGUGUCGGGGGAAUCGACCCCCUCGGUACCGGAGCUAACGCA
This 789-nucleotide ribosomal RNA is filed under the name Deferribacteres bacterium SCGC AAA160-A16. RNAcentral's name for it is "bacterial SSU rRNA". It matches the Rfam family "Bacterial small subunit ribosomal RNA", at positions 87 to 859 of the family's 1533-position model. Lineage: Bacteria; Pseudomonadati; Deferribacterota; Deferribacteres. The record is from RNAcentral.